UUUUGUUGUUUACAAUAAAAU
Molecule: non-coding RNA, 21 nt
Filed under: Caenorhabditis elegans
Lineage: Eukaryota; Metazoa; Nematoda; Chromadorea; Rhabditida; Rhabditidae
Source: RNAcentral